Molecule: long non-coding RNA, 417 nt
Filed under: Astyanax mexicanus (Mexican tetra)
Lineage: Eukaryota; Metazoa; Chordata; Actinopteri; Characiformes; Acestrorhamphidae
Description: lncRNA (ENSAMXG00005025365.1)
Source: RNAcentral
CCGAACUCGCUACAAACAGGAACCCGGGAUCUGAGCGGAGCUUCAGUAACAGCAGCGCAGCGCGAGUUACUGAAUUAUAUUCAGCACAUUUUCACGGUAGAGAUUAUUUCAUGGACAUCACUAAGGGCAGUCUGGAGGAGAUCUCUCGGCCAGCCUCCAGUGAGCGCUCUCGACCGGGCAGCCGUGUGUCCAGCAUAUCUCUCUCUGAACUGGGAAGAGUGAGUGUGGAGAGCCCGGGGUCUCUGGAGGUUCUGAGCACAGAAACUCCAUCAACACAGGCAGACAGUGGAAUUGAGAAGGAUGAGGAUUUAGACUGCCCUUCAGAAAACUCAGCCCCCGGUCAGGGUAAGUGAUUAACUGUGGAUCACCCUGACCCUUUUUGUGACAUUUGUAUUUUCUAAAACAAUAAAAAGAUAA